Molecule: ribosomal RNA, 526 nt
Filed under: uncultured bacterium
Lineage: Bacteria
Description: bacterial SSU rRNA
Rfam family: Bacterial small subunit ribosomal RNA
Source: RNAcentral
CUACGUGCCAGCAGCCGCGGUAAUACGUAGGUCCCGAGCGUUGUCCGGAUUUAUUGGGCGUAAAGCGAGCGCAGGCGGUUUGAUAAGUCUGAAGUUAAAGGCUGUGGCUCAACCAUAGUUCGCUUUGGAAACUGUCAAACUUGAGUGCAGAAGGGGAGAGUGGAAUUCCAUGUGUAGCGGUGAAAUGCGUAGAUAUAUGGAGGAACACCGGUGGCGAAAGCGGCUCUCUGGUCUGUAACUGACGCUGAGGCUCGAAAGCGUGGGGAGCGAACAGGAUUAGAUACCCUGGUAGUCCACGCCGUAAACGAUGAGUGCUAGGUGUUGGAUCCUUUCCGGGAUUCAGUGCCGCAGCUAACGCAUUAAGCACUCCGCCUGGGGAGUACGACCGCAAGGUUGAAACUCAAAGGAAUUGACGGGGGCCCGCACAAGCGGUGGAGCAUGUGGUUUAAUUCGAAGCAACGCGAAGAACCUUACCAGGUCUUGACAUCCCGAUGCUAUUUCUAGAGAUAGAAAGUUACUUCGGUAC